RNAcentral lists this ribosomal RNA (1623 nucleotides) under Triticum aestivum (bread wheat). RNAcentral's name for it is "partial small subunit ribosomal RNA". The record is from RNAcentral. Lineage: Eukaryota; Viridiplantae; Streptophyta; Magnoliopsida; Poales; Poaceae.
AUGAAGCCUGAAGUUACUGCUCAUUUGCCAAAAUCAGAAAGUACUAAACCAAUCACAAUGACCACGCAAGCCUGUAAGAGGCGGAGGUCAGUUUAUAUAAGCAGUGGGUCAGAAGAUUCUGGUACAGAUUCAGAGGUUGAGGGAAGUAAACGGUCUCAAAAAUCUGGGACGACGUCAAUAUCUUCAUCUGAGCAUCGACCAUCUUCUAACAACAAGGCUGGAAGCAUGAAUGCUAGCAAGACAAGGGUCUGUAGAAAUAUUCUGGGGAAGCUCAUGGAUCACCCGGGUGGUUGGCUGUUCCAUAAACCGGUUGAUCCAGACCUAUUUGGCAUUCCUGAUUACUUUGAUGUUAUCCGCAAUCCAAUGGACUUGGGCACUGUCAAGAAGAAACUCACAAACAAGAAUUAUUCAAGCACCGAUGAGUUUGCAGCAGAUGUGAGACUAACAUUUUCAAAUGCAAUGACGUAUAAUCCUCCUGGAAAUCAGGUCCACACAGUAGCUGAACAGCUGAAUAUAAUGUUUAAUUCGGAAUGGACAUCAUAUGAAAGAAAAUGGAGCGACAGAAAUCUGAAGCCAGUGCAGUUGCCGAUGAAGGUAAUUAAGGCUCGUGUGGCUGUCAAUUCAAAGCCAGUGGUUUCUGGAGGGUUGGUCGCAUGCUCAAAUUCAUCUGCAAAGAAGACAUUGACAAAUGCAAUAUCCUCCAAAGUAAAAAUUAAGUUUUGUGUGCGUGGAUCGGGGCAGACCUUAUCCAAAGGUGUGAAUGAGACACCUUUGCAAGCAGCUGGUAGCAAGGAGGGCUCUUUAAAUCAUUCUAUCCCAUGCACCAAGGAGAGCGCUAACACAACUAAGGUCCAGUCAAGUGAGCACAGAGUUCAGUCGAUUGGAAAUGAAUCACGGUCUUGCAGUGAUACUUCAACUUCGCCUCUUUCUUCCUAUGGACAAGGAGACGGAAGUUAUUUACAGGCUGAACCUUUGUCACCAACCAAGGCCCUGCGUGCAGCAAUGCUUAAGAGGCGUUUUGCUGGAACGAUUGUGAAGGCACAGCAGAAGGCACUUCUGGACCAUGGGCAGCAAAUAGACCCUGCAAAAUUACAGUUGGAAAAGGAGAGGCUGGAAAAAAGGCAGCAAGAAGAGAAAGAAAGGAUUGAGGCCCAGGUGAAGGCCGCUGAAGCUGCUGCACAGUUCAAGUUAGAUGAAGAACUAAGGAAGAAGAGGGAGCGAGAAAGGGAGGCAGCACGGCUGGCACUACACAUGAUGAAGAAGACCGUUGACAUUGACAACAGCGACUUCCUAAAGGACCUGGAAAACAUCAGCAAAAAGUGGGAACUAAACCCUCCUGCCAAGCUAAUUGUGGAUUUCGUCGACGGGAUGGAGCUCCCACCUGGCCUCGGAAGCCCGCUGGAGAGGCUCGGGCUUUUCAUGAAGAGAGACAUCGAAGAAGAGGUCGAAGAUGAAAUGGAGGACAGCGUAUCACCACCCUCCGUGGAUGUCGACAGCGUAUCACCACCCUCCGUGGAUGCCCACAGCAUAUCACCACCCUCCGUCGAUGUCAACAGCAUAUUACCACCCGCUGUGGAUAUGGAUAUUGACGGGGAGGAAGGAGAGAUCGGCUGCUGUGGGUAG